AGAUUGAACGCUGGCGGCAGGCCUAACACAUGCAAGUCGAGCGGCAGCACGGGUACUUGUACCUGGUGGCGAGCGGCGGACGGGUGUGUAAUGCCUAGGAAUCUGCCUGGUAGUGGGGGAUAACGCUCGGAAACGGACGCUAAUACCGCAUACGUCCUACGGGAGAAAGCAGGGGACCUUCGGGCCUUGCGCUAUCAGAUGAGCCUAGGCCGGAUUAGCUAGUUGGUGAGGUAACGGCUC
Molecule: ribosomal RNA, 240 nt
Filed under: uncultured soil bacterium
Lineage: Bacteria
Description: partial 16S ribosomal RNA
Rfam family: Bacterial small subunit ribosomal RNA
Source: RNAcentral